ACAAUGCCAUACAGUGGAUCAAUAGGCUUGGGGGUCGAUGAAGACCGCAGCU
This 52-nucleotide ribosomal RNA is filed under the name uncultured eukaryote. RNAcentral describes it as "partial 5.8S ribosomal RNA". The record is from RNAcentral.